This 396-nucleotide ribosomal RNA is filed under the name uncultured bacterium. RNAcentral describes it as "partial 16S ribosomal RNA". It matches the Rfam family "Bacterial small subunit ribosomal RNA", at positions 523 to 918 of the family's 1533-position model. The record is from RNAcentral.
AUACGGAGGGUGCAAGCGUUAAUCGGAAUUACUGGGCGUAAAGCGCACGCAGGCGGUUUGUUAAGUCAGAUGUGAAAUCCCCGGGCUCAACCUGGGAACUGCAUCUGAUACUGGCAAGCUUGAGUCUCGUAGAGGGGGGUAGAAUUCCAGGUGUAGCGGUGAAAUGCGUAGAGAUCUGGAGGAAUACCGGUGGCGAAGGCGGCCCCCUGGACGAAGACUGACGCUCAGGUGCGAAAGCGUGGGGAGCAAACAGGAUUAGAUACCCUGGUAGUCCACGCCGUAAACGAUGUCGACUUGGAGGUUGUGCCCUUGAGGCGUGGCUUCCGGAGCUAACGCGUUAAGUGCUCCGCCUGGGGAGUACGCACGCAAGUGUGAAACUCAAAGGAAUCGGCGGGG